UGAGGAAUAUUGGUCAAUGGGCGCGAGCCUGAACCAGCCAAGUAGCGUGAAGGAUGAAGGUCCUAUGGAUUGUAAACUUCUUUUAUAGCAGAAUAAAGUGACCCACGUGUGGGUUUUUGUAUGUAUGCUAUGAAUAAGGAUCGGCUAACUCCGUGCCAGCAGCCGCGGUAAUACGGAGGAUCCGAGCGUUAUCCGGAUUUAUUGGGUUUAAAGGGUGCGUAGGCGGAAAGAUAAGUCAGCCUGUGAAAGUUUGCGGCUCAACCGUAAAAUUGCAGUUGAUACUGUUUUUCUUGAGUGUACAUAAGGUAGGCGGAAUUCGUGGUGUAGCGGUGAAAUGCUUAGAUAUCACGAAGAACGCCGAUUGCGAAGGCAGCGUACCGGGGUACAACUGACGCUGAUGCACGAAAGUGUGGGUAUCAAACA
RNAcentral lists this ribosomal RNA (423 nucleotides) under uncultured bacterium. RNAcentral describes it as "bacterial SSU rRNA". It matches the Rfam family "Bacterial small subunit ribosomal RNA", at positions 355 to 774 of the family's 1533-position model. The record is from RNAcentral.